Molecule: RNA transcript, 1518 nt
Organism: Triticum dicoccoides
Lineage: Eukaryota; Viridiplantae; Streptophyta; Magnoliopsida; Poales; Poaceae
Exons: 3
Source: RefSeq, a predicted model, not a curated record
UUUUACGGUGCAUCAGAUCAAUAUUGACCGUUCAUAUUUUCGUUUGGACGGUCCAGAUAUGGAAAUACUACCACAGAUUUUCGAUAGUAUAUUUUCUUAUCAGGGGUAGUUUCGGUAGUUCGCUGUUUACCAAAAACGCGGGCUGGUUUCCUCAGAAAACGAGUGAAGGGCAUUUGUGGAAUUUCACGUAUUGAUCUUUUUUUUCAUUAGCCAUCGCCGUCUGCUCCUUGAGGGAAAUGAGGCCGACUGUUUAGGCAGACCUCGAAUGAGAAAAAAAAUCCCAAUCGAACGCUGGCCGCGGUAGGGCGAGAGGAUGAUGACGAGCCCCGGUCGCCGUGACGGCCCUUCGCGCAGUCAGUGCGAGCGCUAGGGUUUGGUGCCCCGCCUUCGGUCAGAUGAGCGGGCGCUGCGGCGUUGCCCCCAUGGUGUCACAGUCAUCGUCGGCGAGAUGGCCCUGCCAUUCGUGUUCUGGAGCUGGUGGCUGAGGGGGAGGGGGGAAGGGGACGAAGGCGAGACGUUGCUGCAGCAGCAUGCCCCAUCGCCGUGACGGCCCUGCGCGCCGCCGAGUUGGAGUUCCACUAAGGUACUAGCUUCGUACAGAUCUCACUUGUCGAUUGAUUUGAUUUGCCGCAUUGGAUGAUAUUUGGGUCUGUAAUUUGGGUUUGUAGUCGUUGAAAUUGCACAUCUAUAGAAGCUGAAAUCAUUGUUAUUAUUAUGGUGAGGAAUCUUGAUACAAGUUGUUUUUCUGGUCGGCGGCUGUGGUCGGCGGCUAAAUGUCCCGCCAUUCGUGUUCCCCUCCUAAGCUGCAGGAUGUGGAGCGGGUCGCCGAGGGGGAGGACUAAGGCGAGACGUUGCCAGCAUGCCCCGUCGCCGUCAAGGUCCUACACGCCGACCAGUGCCGUACAGAUCUGUCGUGGCCGAUGCAGUGACAAGCGAUUUGGAGGGAAAAAGCUGAUCCAGCCAUGGUCCUCGCCUAGGAGGAGGACGAGUUCCAUCACACCAGCAGCAGUUCAGGAUGUAAUCGGGAUUGUCAUUCAAAAAAAAGGAAAUCGGGACUGAUCUACACAAGAGGCGUCAUGUGGAUCUAUAGUAGGCUAUGGUAAAUCGGGACUUCUAUGUCAUGCUGAUCUACACGAGUUGAUGUACGGGUUCAAUGAGAUAUGUAUACCUUCUUUGCCGACGAGUGUGGCGGCUUCGGUGCACCUGACUUUGUCGAUGAAGGUGGGGGCUUCGAUGCACGUGACUUGGAUUGCUUCGUGACUGACUGUGCAGGCCUGACGGACGCAGCAGGAUGAUAGGGAGACAUAUGACGGUGGUGGUGAUGGUGAUGGCGAGAUUGGUUGGUUCUGCUCAAGGUUCAAGGAUGGGAUUCAAGGAGGGAGGCUGGGCUGUGGUGAGGUUUAGGUUGAUGCGUACAAAGCAUAUAUAUAGGCUGGGUACACGAUCGUGUAGGUUACAAUCUAGUCAUUUAUUUCUUGCCGAAGAAUAAACCCGUGUUUUGUUUUAUUGUUGAUGGGA